GAUGAAGAACGUAGCGAAAUGCGAUAAGUAAUGCGAAUUGCAGAAUUCAGUGAGUCAUCGAAUCUUUGAACGCACAUUGCGCCCUGUAGUAUUCCGCAGGGCAUGCCUGUUCGAGCGUCAUUUCAACCCUCAAGCUCUGCUUGGUGUUGGGCCCUGCCCGCUCGCGGCCGGCCCUAAAGACAGUGGCGGUGCCGUCUGGCUCUAAGCGUAGUACAUCUCUCGCUCUGGUGCCCGGCGGUGUCCUGCCAGAACCCCCCAACUCUGUGGUUGACCUCGGAUCAGGUAGGGAUACCCGCUGAACUUAAGCAUAUCAAUAAGCGGAGGA
This 325-nucleotide unclassified non-coding RNA is filed under the name soil metagenome. RNAcentral's name for it is "partial contains 5.8S ribosomal RNA, internal transcribed spacer 2, and large subunit ribosomal RNA". The stretch from base 1 to 120 matches the Rfam family "5.8S ribosomal RNA", at positions 35 to 154 of the family's 154-position model. The record is from RNAcentral.